Molecule: transfer RNA, 75 nt
Filed under: Engelhardtia mirabilis
Lineage: Bacteria; Pseudomonadati; Planctomycetota; Planctomycetia
Description: Planctomycetes bacterium Pla133 tRNA-Thr
Rfam family: tRNA
About the family: Transfer RNA (tRNA) molecules are approximately 80 nucleotides in length. Their secondary structure includes four short double-helical elements and three loops (D, anti-codon, and T loops). Further hydrogen bonds mediate the characteristic L-shaped molecular structure. tRNAs have two regions of fundamental functional importance: the anti-codon, which is responsible for specific mRNA codon recognition, and the 3' end, to which the tRNAs corresponding amino acid is attached (by aminoacyl-tRNA synthetases). tRNAs cope with the degeneracy of the genetic code in two manners: having more than one tRNA (with a specific anti-codon) for a particular amino acid; and 'wobble' base-pairing, i.e. permitting non-standard base-pairing at the 3rd anti-codon position.
Source: RNAcentral
GCCAGCGUGGCUCAAUGGUAGAGCACCUGAUUUGUAAUCAGGGGGUUGUGGGUUCGAGUCCCACCGCUGGCUCCA